Molecule: long non-coding RNA, 2800 nt
Filed under: Apis mellifera (honey bee)
Lineage: Eukaryota; Metazoa; Arthropoda; Insecta; Hymenoptera; Apidae
Description: uncharacterized LOC102654686, transcript variant X3
Source: RNAcentral
GAUUUCACUUCGACCCACGCGCCAAUUCCGCUUGUAUCAGUGAUGGUGAUACACUGUCAUUGCAUUGAAAGUCAAGUUUGUGGAUAAUAAUGGACUCGAGAUCGUUCCAUUCCUUAUAUUUUCCUUCCGAUUAUAUUUAUUGCGAUUUCCAUCAAACUAAAAUAAAAUAACCUCGAUUACAUUCUCUUAAGAAAUCUUAUUAUACUCAACGAGUGAAGUUUUGUCCUUUUCCAACGAUGGAAACCUUAAAGAAAGAAUUAUUAUAUUUUCCAAACAUUGUUAUAACAACGGAUGCAAACGUUCGUAUAAAUUCGAUUCUUCCUAUAUAUAUAUAACCGGUUUCAUUUUAUCGUCUUAAGGAGCAAGGAACACGAGAGAGAGAGAGUGGAGGUUAGAAGAGAGAUCGCGUGACGGAGAGUUUUCGCCAUUGGGUAUGGAAUACGCAACGCUGUUUCCAUGCACACGCGAUAUUAUCCGGGUGAUCGAACGCGGAGAGCGUGUAUGCAUUCGUUUCGUGACGCACGUGGCCGUUUCAAAGUUCGCCCAUCGGGCGAUAUACUUGCGAGAUAAUCGGGCCGGCUCUCGUUUUGUCCCUUCGUGAAAAUGGCCAAUAUGUCCGCCCGGCCAAUUUAGUGUGCAAUUUGUAACAGUGUUCGAAUUAAUAUCGGCGGUAACGGAAGCUCGGUGUAGAGCGUGUUGGCGUAGAUUUUGAAAGAAGUAGUUAUUGGACUCCACGGAUGUGAAGCUGAUGUCUCUCUCUCUCUCUGUGUUUGCAACCACUCUCCUGAUUACGUGCACCGCUAUUUACACUGCUCUCAGUCGAGAUUUUCAAUGUCGAGGGGGUAAUUCCUUCGACUGUCGUGGAAUCUUUCGCGCACAGCUCUGAAAGAAGAACGUAAAUAAUUCCGCGCAAGCGUUGGAAUAUGUCAACAACGUUUCCAUCCUUCCUCCAUCCGCGGUACCAUCGGUUUUUUAGCAAGUGGAUCGAAUUGGUUCGAGCCUCGAACGAAACACAAAAGGAAACAUAAGUUGCUCGAGUAGAAAUAAUUUUGGAAAACGAAGAAGUUUGGACGCAGAUUUCCAAGAUUUUCCAGAUUUCCAUUCUUAAUUUGCUCUUAAUAUAUUGUUUAUAUAUGCGAGCAAAUUAUUUCAUCUUUUGUACCCAGAAUCUGGAGGAUUAAAGCGCACAAUCUGAUCGAACGAUAGCGAUAGCGUGUUCUGAAAAGCGUACAGAAUAAACCUAUUUCAUCCUUUUGUUUCGUGGAUUCGCAUCUCUUGCAAAGGAAUUAUCAUCCUGUUUCUGACAGUGGUGGGCAAAGAAUACAAAAGGCGUAGCCGGAAGAAAAGUGGCUGCAUUGCACACGUACAAAGGGAUAAAAACGAUUCCCCCGCAUUGUUCCAGCUCUGGACUCGUUAUCGCUAUCCAAGGAAAUCUCCAAGGUGGACGGAAUAGAAAUCGAAGGAAGGGAGAAGAAGGAGGAGGAGGAGGAAAGGAAGACGAAGUGGAGGAGAUGGGUUCACAAUCGCCAUUAUGCGCACUCGGUGAAUUCCAUUAGGAGAGAAGAAGCUUUAUCAGUGCGCUCGAUGCUGGCACAAGUCAAAUGUCAUUUCUGUCUCGCUGAAUCUUGUCGCUGAAAACUCGACAUCUAAACCUGUCACCACCCUUUCUAUCGUCGAUCGGUACAAAGGGUGUCGAGAUCGAAUCAAAUUAAAAUUGUAAAAAUUAAAAGUGUAGAGGAAUUUCGAUACCUUGGAGUUUUUCAAAAAUAGAUUAAAUUGCAAAUUGUAUGUUUGAAGUGUAAUUGAUAAUAAUUUGAAGGAUAAAUUUGAGGAAAUGAAUGGAACGAAAGUAACCCAUAAAAUUCUAGAUGGCGCUGAAACGAAUUUGAGAUGUUAUUGAAAAAAAAGAACACUAUACAUAUCACUUCCACAGGAAGUACUUGGGUACAACAGUUUUCUAACAAACGAAGAGGAGGAGGAAGAGAAGGUGAACUUGGAGCUUUGAAAUCACGACCGCUUCAUUAAGCAAGAAAGAGGUUCGAGAUAGAGAGAUUGCCGCUACGACGCCUGCCAGGAUAAUUUAUCACCAACCCUCCGUGGCCUGUGGAGGCUCGUUUCGAUGAGUUACGACGCGUUGAAUCUGUUCCUCCUUUUUUACCGCCCAUAAAACUCUGAUCGACGAGGCUGCCACGUGUAGUAAAGUCCAGCCACGGAGGAUCGAAAAUCUGCAAUCACGAUUAUUGAUGAAAUUCUAGUACAGGUGUCGAUUAGGCGAGGGAAAAGAGUUUAAAUUAUACGAAGAGAACAAUUUUUCAAGAUGCGUAAUCGUAUAAUUUGUUUAGGAACGGUACGAAUUUAGGAGAGGUUUCGAAAGUUAGAAUUAUAAAAUGAUGGUGAUAAAGUUUAUUAAGAUUGGAUAUUUAAAAAUCGGAUAUUAUCGCGAAUCCAACUCGUAUAAUCGAAUCGAUACACGUAUAUCAACGUCGUGUCUGGUAGUUACGGAAGAUUAAUGGAACGGAACGAUUCCGUGUAUUUAUCCGAAUAAAAGUCGCGUUACGAGAAUGUCGAUAUUUCAAUCGAUAAUGCAUGAAGUUUUAUUAAUAAUAUAAAGCAGAGAUUGAAAUCUACGAUAAGACGUAUUUUUAUUUAUUCAUAAGAUUUUUGUAAUUGUAUGCGUGAAAGAUAUUUCCAGACUAUUAUAAAUUUAUUAAACCACUUUUCUUAUCACGAGAUGCAUCAUGUAUUUAUGUAUUUGUGAAGUUUUAUUAAUAAUAUAAAGCAGAGAUUUAAAUCUACGAUA